GACGAACGCUGGCGGCGUGCCUAAUACAUGCAAGUUGAGCGAUGAAGAUUGGUGCUUGCACCAAUUUGAAGAGCAGCGAACAGGUGAGUAACGCGUGGGGAAUCUGCCUUUGAGCGGGGGACAACAUUUGGAAACGAAUGCUAAUACCGCAUAAUAACUUUAAACAUAAGUUUUAAGUUUGAAAGAUGCAAUUGCAUCACUCAAAGAUGAUCCCGCGUUGUAUUAGCUAGUUGGUGAGGUAAAGGCUCACCAAGGCGAUGAUACAUAGCCGACCUGAGAGGGUGGUCGGCCACAUUGGGACUGAGACACGGCCCAAACGCCUACGGGAGGCAGCAGUAGGGAAUCUUCGGCAAUGGACGAAAGUCUGACCGAGCAACGCCGCGUGAGUGAAGAAGGUUUUCGGAUCGUAAAACUCUGUUGGUAGAGAAGAACGUUGGUGAGAGUGGAAAGCUCAUCAAGUGACGGUAACUACCCAGAAAGGGACGGCUAACUACGUG
Molecule: ribosomal RNA, 497 nt
Filed under: uncultured bacterium
Lineage: Bacteria
Description: partial 16S ribosomal RNA
Rfam family: Bacterial small subunit ribosomal RNA
Source: RNAcentral